This 406-nucleotide ribosomal RNA is filed under the name uncultured bacterium. RNAcentral's name for it is "partial 16S ribosomal RNA". It matches the Rfam family "Bacterial small subunit ribosomal RNA", at positions 30 to 526 of the family's 1533-position model. The record is from RNAcentral.
AUUGAACGCUGGCGGCAGGCCUAACACAUGCAAGUCGAACGAGUGGCGGACGGGUGAGUAAUGUCUGGGAAACUGCAUGAUGGAGGGGGAUACCUACUGGAAACGGUAGCUACUACCGCAUACCAUCAGAUGUGCCCAGAUGGGCUUAGCUUGUUUGUGUGGUAACGGGUCACCAAGGCGACGAUCCCUAGCUGGUCUGAGAGGAGUACCAGCAACACUGGAACUGAGAAACGGGCCAUACUCCUACGGGAGGCAGCAGUGGGGAAUAUUGCACAAUGGGCUCAAGCCUGAUGCAGCCAUGCCGCGUGUAUGAAGAAGGCCUUCGGGUUGUAAAGUACUUUCAGCGGGGAGGCGUUACCCGCAGAAGAAGCACCGGCUAACUCCGUGCCAGCAGCCGCGGUAAUUC